UGUGGAUGGGCAACAGUUCACUUGUGUGUGGGCUCAGCAAACUUGUUGUCUCAGUUCUCAGUCUCCUUUAGUAGUUAGUCUUAUAAAAUACCAAAUUUCUUCUCAUUUUUAAGAUGAAGUGAACAAGCGUAUCAGUUCAACCUUGGUGAAAGGGAGAGAUAUAAUACGCCUUUACUAUGGCCUGGAUAAAGAAUCCCAUACAUGGGAAGACAUUAGUAGACAAUGUAGAGCUGAAGGCGAGUGGUGACCUCACCAAGGAUGUAGAGCUAAAGGGCGUGUUCUUAGCCAUUGGUUAGAGUGAGAGGCUACAGGGGCUAUUGAUGUCUAUUGGUUGAAAUUUAAGUUUGUUCAGCUGGAGUGCUGGAGUUUAAAGAAUUAGUAGAGGCUUCUAUUGUGGUUAUCAGAUGUCGAAGAGCAUCAAAGCAUGCCUGCCCUAUCGCCGGCUGGUCUCAUCUUCUGUUUUAUGGUUGUGAUUUGCUGAGGAGAUGUUGUAGCUACUCUCAGUCCCAAUUGAUGUACAGUUUUUCCUGUGACAU
Long non-coding RNA from Magnolia sinica, 536 nucleotides. RefSeq lists it as uncharacterized. NCBI's taxonomy places the organism in Eukaryota, Viridiplantae, Streptophyta, Magnoliopsida, Magnoliales, Magnoliaceae. The record is from RefSeq and is a predicted model, not a curated record. The transcript has 3 exons.